UAGCAAAUGACGAGAUAUGUUUUCUUGACUGAGAAAAUCGCCAUGAAGCUUCAAAAACCGAGCUUUUUAAAACCGAUGCUCG
This 82-nucleotide small nucleolar RNA is filed under the name Nelumbo nucifera (sacred lotus). The record is from RNAcentral. Lineage: Eukaryota; Viridiplantae; Streptophyta; Magnoliopsida; Proteales; Nelumbonaceae.